UUGACCUCAAAUCAGGUAGGACUACCCGCUGAACUUAAGCAUAUCAAUAAGCGGAGGAAAAGAAACUAACAAGGAUUCCCCUAGUAACUGCGAGUGAAGCGGGAAAAGCUCAAAUUUGAAAUCUGGCGGUUCUGAACUGUCCGAGUUGUAAUCUAGAGAAGUGUUACCUGUGCUGGACCGUGUACAAGUCUCCUGGAAUGGAGCAUCAUAGAGGGUGAGAAUCCCGUCUUUGACACGGACUACCUGUACAUUAUGGUGCGCUCUCGAAGAGUCGAGUUGUUUGGGAAUGCAGCUCAAAAUGGGUGGUAAAUGCCAUCUAAAGCUAAAUAUUGGCGAGAGACCGAUAGCGAACAAGUACCGUGAGGGAAAGAUGAAAAGAACUUUGGAAAGAGAGUUAAACAGUACGUGAAAUUGCUGAAAGGGAAACGCUUGAAGUCAGUCGCGUUGGCUAGAAAUCAACCUAGCUCUUGCUCGGUGUACUUUCUGGUUGACGGGUCAGCAUCAAUUUUGACCAUCGGAUAAAGUCUUUGGGAAUGUGGCAUCUUCGGAUGUGUUAUAGCCCAUUGUCGCAUACGGUGGUUGGGAUUGAGG
Molecule: ribosomal RNA, 591 nt
Filed under: Inocybe griseolilacina
Lineage: Eukaryota; Fungi; Basidiomycota; Agaricomycetes; Agaricales; Inocybaceae
Description: eukaryotic LSU rRNA
Rfam family: Eukaryotic large subunit ribosomal RNA
Source: RNAcentral